This 82-nucleotide small RNA is filed under the name Arabidopsis thaliana (thale cress). RNAcentral's name for it is "ATSL031220". Lineage: Eukaryota; Viridiplantae; Streptophyta; Magnoliopsida; Brassicales; Brassicaceae. The record is from RNAcentral.
UCAAAAUUGUUCGAAAGUUCGUAUGCCCGGCGUUACGCCAUAGAGUGGUGGAAUUUAUAUUUUCAGAUUCUAAGGUAACAAU